GAAGGCCCUAGGGUUGUAAAGCACUUUCAAUUGGGAGGAAAAGCUAAUGGUUAAUAGCCAUUAGCCCUGACGUUACCUUUAGAAGAAGCACCGGCUAACUCCGUGCCAGCAGCCGCGGUAAUACGGAGGGUGCAAGCGUUAAUCGGAAUUACUGGGCGUAAAGCGCGCGUAGGCGGUUUUUUAAGUCGGAUGUGAAAGCCCCGGGCUUAACCUGGGAACUGCAUCCGAUACUGGAUGACUAGAAUGCGGGAGAGGGAGGUAGAAUUCCAUGUGUAGCAGUGAAAUGCGUAGAUAUAUGGAGGAAUACCAGUGGCGAAGGCGGCCUCCUGGCUCGACAUUGACGCUGAGGUGCGAAAGCGUGGGGAGCAAACGGGAUUAGAUACCCCGGUAGUCCACGCCGUAAACGAUGUCUACUAGCUGUAGGGGUACUUGAGACCUUUGUAGCGCAGCUAACGCAA
Molecule: ribosomal RNA, 458 nt
Filed under: uncultured Gammaproteobacteria bacterium
Lineage: Bacteria; Pseudomonadati; Pseudomonadota; Gammaproteobacteria
Description: bacterial SSU rRNA
Rfam family: Bacterial small subunit ribosomal RNA
Source: RNAcentral